Molecule: long non-coding RNA, 945 nt
Organism: Saccostrea echinata
Lineage: Eukaryota; Metazoa; Mollusca; Bivalvia; Ostreida; Ostreidae
Exons: 4
Source: RefSeq, a predicted model, not a curated record
AAGGAUAUCAACAAUUAUGUUAAGAAGACGAGAGCACUUUUUUCUAGUUCACAAUGUGCGUCACAUUGCGUAUUAAAUUCGGAAAGGAUUAUGGGAAAUCGUUACAAGCACUGUAGAAAUUUCAUCCUGCGAUGGCAAAGCAAGACUUGGAUCUGUCAUCUCCAUUAAUUACCAGAAAAUGGAUUUGCAUUGCGACUGUUUGAUAAAACCUCUCUUUAUGGGAACAUUACAAUUUGCAUCCGAUACUUUCAAAUUUAUAUGUCGUAUGGAGGUCAACAUUUACGAUAAUAAAAGAGCCGAUGAAUUAGUUAAUCUCCCAUGUGGAAAUGGGAGGACUUCUGUUUAUUUCAAUGUUACUGAUGACGAUGUCUUUCAACUGAUAUUCAAACCUGUCAGCUUAACAAAUGGGACAUUUAAUCAACAUAUCUCCGUUUUUAAAGAGGCCACAUUAAAUGGCAAUAUUUCUGUGUCUUGUCGUGUUCAAAAUUUGUCCACAAACGUAACAGUCUUUGACGAUGAACUUACCACAAUUUCAACCUCUAUCCAAUCAACAAAUACAAGAUGUAUAUCUUCAUAAAAACCGACCAUAAGAUUUCUGCAGACAUGUAUACAGAACUGGAUACAAGCAGUCAGUCAAGAGCUCGAGGAGAAAGUGAUCAGAGAUACGAUUCAUUGCAACAUUAGAAUUAAAUCUAUUUUGACACGAUUUUAAUUUUAAGAUUUUUUUCCUUACGAUCUUUUUUGGUAAACAAAGCAUAAAAUUGAAUUUUAUAUUCAUUUAGUACAUAUUUGUACAUAUAUAUUUAGUACAUAUAUAUUUAAUUCUUGUUUUUAUUUUUCUGUUUAACUUAAGAAUGCAGUUUACGAAUAAACAUAAAUGUAAACAUUUUAUAAACAUAAAAAGAUCUUUUUGAGCUUUGUUAAGUUAAUAACAAUCAUUCUAAA